Molecule: ribosomal RNA, 465 nt
Filed under: uncultured Klebsiella sp.
Lineage: Bacteria; Pseudomonadati; Pseudomonadota; Gammaproteobacteria; Enterobacterales; Enterobacteriaceae
Description: bacterial SSU rRNA
Rfam family: Bacterial small subunit ribosomal RNA
Source: RNAcentral
CCUACGGGGCGCUGCAGUGGGGAAUAUUGCACAAUGGGCGCAAGCCUGAUGCAGCCAUGCCGCGUGUGUGAAGAAGGCCUUCGGGUUGUAAAGCACUUUCAGCGGGGAGGAAGGCGGUGAGGUUAAUAACCUCAUCGAUUGACGUUACCCGCAGAAGAAGCACCGGCUAACUCCGUGCCAGCAGCCGCGGUAAUACGGAGGGUGCAAGCGUUAAUCGGAAUUACUGGGCGUAAAGCGCACGCAGGCGGUCUGUCAAGUCGGAGGUGAAAUCCCCGGGCUCAACCUGGGAACUGCAUUCGAAACUGGCAGGCUAGAGUCUUGUAGAGGGGGGUAGAAUUCCAGGUGUAGCGGUGAAAUGCGUAGAGAUCUGGAGGAAUACCGGUGGCGAAGGCGGCCCCCUGGACAAAGACUGACGCUCAGGUGCGAAAGCGUGGGGAGCAAACAGGAUUAGAUACCCUAGUAGUC